UGGAUUACAAUGCACCACCUCGGGGUCCGCACCACAUUUAAAUAGAUGACACCUUGCCCAAUCCUUUCUCUAUGUGGAUACGAGGAAGCCAAGCUCAAUUAUAGAAUCAUGCUCCGUUUGGCAGUCACUAAGGAUGUGGUCAGGAAAAGAUGCUGGGUAGCCCUGCAGUGGACUGGUACUUCCAAUGACUGGAAGUGAAAAGUGACAGUUCACUGCUCUUCGCUCUCUGGAGCAGCUAGAUCACUAGAGAUGCCAAGUCCCCUUUGAGGAAAUUCAACUUCUUCUCAGCCAUCACUCCCACUCUUUUUCUUCAUUACUAUAAAAAAUGCUUAGGACACUGCAGUCCAUACAAUAAAUUAGGUGGCUACAGGUCAGAGGUGAAGUAUGAACAAGUGCAAUGGAAUCGAGGUGAUUGAAAAAGCAAGACUAACGUCCUGAGAAAAUACAUCUUCCAAGCUAGAGCAACAUGUAAUUUUUUUUCCUGUUAUCUGUGUAAUGUGACUUUGUUGGGUUAAACCACCAAAAGCAAUUUUUUUUAAAGUUUCCUUUUAAAUUUGAUCCUCCUCUUUAUCAUCCAAAUGAUUCUGUCUACCAUAAUUCAGUAAUUUCUUCUCCCUUCCUUCCUUCCUUUCUUCCUUCCUUCCUUUCUCCCUCCCUCCCUUCCUUCCUUCCAUUUUUCACCCAGCUUUACUGAUGUACAAUUUACGUACAAUAAAAUUCACUCAUUUCAAG
Molecule: long non-coding RNA, 732 nt
Filed under: Equus caballus (horse)
Lineage: Eukaryota; Metazoa; Chordata; Mammalia; Perissodactyla; Equidae
Description: lncRNA (ENSECAG00000046694.1)
Source: RNAcentral